RNAcentral lists this ribosomal RNA (506 nucleotides) under Ommastrephes brevimanus. RNAcentral's name for it is "partial 16S rRNA". It matches the Rfam family "Bacterial large subunit ribosomal RNA", at positions 1808 to 2584 of the family's 2925-position model. Lineage: Eukaryota; Metazoa; Mollusca; Cephalopoda; Oegopsida; Ommastrephidae. The record is from RNAcentral.
CAAAAACAUGUCUCUUUGUAAAAUAUAAAUAGAGAGUCGGGCCUGCUCGGUGAAUAAGUUUUUAACAGCUGCGGUAUUUUAACUGUACUAAGGUAGCAUAAUAAUUUGCCUUAUAAUUUGAGGCUAGAAUGAAUGGUUUGACGAAGGUUAAUCUGUCUCCAUCUUAUUUUUUAGAAGUUAAUUUUUAAAGUGAAAAAGCUUAAAUCUUUCAAAGGGACGAGAAGACCCUAAUGAGCUUAUAAUUUUAUUAUCAUUAUUUAAAACAUUUAGGUGGUGGUAUAUAAAUUUUAAUUGGGGUGAUUAAGGAAUAAAUUGUGUAUAGUAACUUCCUUAAAUUAGGUAUUUGUAGAUAAAGUAACCAAUGUAAUAUUGCUUAUAGUAUAGUUACCAUAGGGAUAACAGCGUAAUUCGUUUAGAGAGUUCUUAUUGAAAAACGAGAUUGCGACCUCGAUGUUGGAUUAAAGUAACCCUAAGGUGCAGAAGCUUUAGUAGGUAAAUCUGUUCGA